This 271-nucleotide ribosomal RNA is filed under the name uncultured archaeon. Its description in RNAcentral is "partial 16S ribosomal RNA". It matches the Rfam family "Archaeal small subunit ribosomal RNA", at positions 477 to 747 of the family's 1478-position model. The record is from RNAcentral.
CAGCGCCACUAGUGGGAACCGUUUUUAUUGGGCCUAAAGCGUCCGUAGCCGGUUUUGAAAAUCUCUUGUGAAAUCGUUCGGCUCAACCGAACGGCGUGCAGGAGACACUGCAAAACUAGGGACCGGGAGGGGUCAGAGGUAUUCUGGGGGGAGCGGUAAAAUGCUAUAAUCCCCGGAGGACCACCGGUGGCGAAGGCGUCUGACCAGAACGGAUCCGACGGUGAGGGACGAAAGCCAGGGGAGCAAUCCGGAUUAGAUACCCGAGUAGUCC